UGGUCAAGUUAUUAAGGGUGCAGGGCGGAUGCCUUGGCACUAGGAGCCGAUGAAGGACGUGAUAAGCUGCGAUAAGCUUCGGGGAGUUGCACGUAAACUUUGAUCCGAAGAUUUCCGAAUGAGGAAACUCACUUAGAGUAAUGUCUAAGUAUCAUUAAGUGAAUACAUAGCUUAAUGAGGGGAACUCAGGGAACUGAAACAUCUAAGUACCUGAAGGAAGAGAAAGAAAUUCGAUUCCGUAAGUAGCGGCGAGCGAACGCGGAUUAGCCCAAACCAAUAAAGUUUUCUUUAUUGGGGUUGCGGACAUAUCAUAACGAAGAGGUAUCGUAAUUGAAGAGGUUUGGAAAGACCCACCACAGAAGGUAAUAGUCCUGUAUGUUAAACGAGAAGACUUUAGAUAUGAUCCAGAGUACCACGGGACACGUGAAACCCUGUGGGAAGCAGGAGGGACCACCCUCCAAGGCUAAAUACUACCUAGUGACCGAUAGCGUAUAGUACCGUGAGGGAAAGGUGAAAAGAACCCCGGGAGGGGAGUGAAAUAGAACCUGAAACCCUGCACUUACAAGCUGUGGAAGCACAUUUCUUGUGUGACCGCGUACUUUUUGUAGAACGGGCCAACGAGUUACGUUAAGUAGCAAGGUUAAGCACUUAAGGUGCGGAGCCGUAGCGAAAGCGAGUUUUAACUGAGCGUUCAGUUACUUGACGUAGACCCGAAACCGGGCGACCUACCCAUGAGCAGGAUGAAGCGAAAGUAAAAUUUCGUGGAGGUCCGAACCCACGAGCGUUGAAAAGCUCGGGGAUGACUUGUGGGUAGCGGUGAAAUUCCAAUCGAGCCCGGAGAUAGCUGGUUCUCCCCGAAAUAGCUUUAGGGCUAGCCUCAAGGUGAGAGAUACGGAGGUAGAGCACUGAAUGUCCUAGGGGGUAUUGCACCUACCGAAGACUAUCAAACUCCGAAUGCCGUCAUCUUAUACUUGGGAGUCAGACUGUGGGUGAUAAGAUUCAUAGUCGAAAGGGCAACAGCCCAGAUCGUCAGCUAAGGUCCCUAAAUGUAAGUUAAGUGGUAAAGGAUGUGGGAUUGCACAGACAACCAGGAUGUUGGCUUAGAAGCAGCCACUCAUUCAAAGAGUGCGUAAUAGCUCACUGGUCGAGUGAUCCUGCGCCGAAGAUUUCCGGGGCUAAAACUUACUACCGAAGCUACGGCAUCAGUAAUGAUGGGUAGGGGAGCUUCCCAUACGGGUUGAAGCAUGACCGUAAGGACAUGUGGACAGUAUGGGAGUGAGAAUGUUGGCAUGAGUAGCGAGAUGUGGGUGAGAAUCCCACAGGCCGUAAACCCAAGGUUUCCAGGGGAAGGUUCGUCCGCCCUGGGUUAGUCGGGACCUAAGCUGAGGCCGAAAGGCGUAGG
Molecule: ribosomal RNA, 1402 nt
Filed under: Clostridioides difficile
Lineage: Bacteria; Bacillati; Bacillota; Clostridia; Peptostreptococcales; Peptostreptococcaceae
Description: bacterial LSU rRNA
Rfam family: Bacterial large subunit ribosomal RNA
Source: RNAcentral